RNAcentral lists this ribosomal RNA (388 nucleotides) under uncultured bacterium. Its description in RNAcentral is "bacterial SSU rRNA". It matches the Rfam family "Bacterial small subunit ribosomal RNA", at positions 28 to 417 of the family's 1533-position model. The record is from RNAcentral.
GACGAACGCUGGCGGCGUGCUUAACACAUGCAAGUCGAGCGGUAAGGCCCUUUCGGGGGUACACGAGCGGCGAACGGGUGAGUAACACGUGGGUGACCUGCCCUCAGCUCUGGGAUAAGCCUGGGAAACCGGGUCUAAUACUGGAUAUGACUCCAUGACGCAUGUUGUGGGGCGGAAAGCCUUGUGCGGCUGAGGAUGGGCCCGCGGCCUAUCAGCUUGUUGGUGGGGUGANGGCCUACCAAGGCGACGACGGGUAGCCGGCCUGAGAGGGCGACCGGCCACACUGGGACUGAGACACGGCCCAGACUCCUACGGGAGGCAGCAGUGGGGAAUCUUGCGCAAUGGGCGAAAGCCUGACGCAGCGACGCCGCGUGAGGGAUGACGGCCU